RNAcentral lists this ribosomal RNA (450 nucleotides) under uncultured bacterium. Its description in RNAcentral is "partial 16S ribosomal RNA". It matches the Rfam family "Bacterial small subunit ribosomal RNA", at positions 354 to 796 of the family's 1533-position model. The record is from RNAcentral.
GUGGGGAAUUUUGGACAAUGGGGGCAACCCUGAUCCAGCAAUGCCGCGUGCAGGAAGAAGGCCUUCGGGUUGUAAACUGCUUUUGUACGGAACGAAACGGUCUGGGUUAAUACCCUGGGCUAAUGACGGUACCGUAAGAAUAAGCACCGGCUAACUACGUGCCAGCAGCCGCGGUAAUACGUAGGGUGCGAGCGUUAAUCGGAAUUACUGGGCGUAAAGCGUGCGCAGGCGGUUUUGUAAGACAGGCGUGAAAUCCCCGGGCUCAACCUGGGAAUGGCGCUUGUGACUGCAGUGCUGGAGUGCGGCAGAGGGGGAUGGAAUUCCGCGUGUAGCAGUGAAAUGCGUAGAUAUGCGGAGGAACACCGAUGGCGAAGGCAAUCCCCUGGGCCUGCACUGACGCUCAUGCACGAAAGCGUGGGGAGCAAACAGGAUUAGAUACCCUUGUAGUCC